RNAcentral lists this transfer RNA (89 nucleotides) under Enterobacteriaceae endosymbiont of Donacia versicolorea. RNAcentral describes it as "tRNA-Ser". It matches the Rfam family "tRNA". Rfam says of the family: Transfer RNA (tRNA) molecules are approximately 80 nucleotides in length. Lineage: Bacteria; Pseudomonadati; Pseudomonadota; Gammaproteobacteria; Enterobacterales; Enterobacteriaceae. The record is from RNAcentral.
GGAGGAAUGGCCGAGUGGUUGAAGGCACCGGUCUUGAAAACCGGAAAUAGAUAAACAACUAUUCGAGAGUUCGAAUCUCUCUUCCUCCU